RNAcentral lists this ribosomal RNA (497 nucleotides) under uncultured bacterium. RNAcentral describes it as "partial 16S ribosomal RNA". It matches the Rfam family "Bacterial small subunit ribosomal RNA", at positions 28 to 507 of the family's 1533-position model. The record is from RNAcentral.
GAUGAACGCUGGCGGCGUGCCUAAUACAUGCAAGUCGAGCGAACAGACGAGGAGCUUGCUCCUCUGACGUUAGCGGCGGACGGGUGAGUAACACGUGGAUAACCUACCUAUAAGACUGGGAUAACUUCGGGAAACCGGAGCUAAUACCGUAUAAUAUAUUGAACCGCAUGGUUCAAUAGUGAAAGACGGUUUUGCUGUCACUUAUAGAUGGAUCCGCGCCGCAUUAGCUAGUUGGUAAGGUAACGGCUUACCAAGGCAACGAUGCGUAGCCGACCUGAGAGGGUGAUCGGCCACACUGGAACUGAGACACGGUCAAGACGCCUAAGGGAGGCAGCAGUAGGGAACCUUCCGCAAUGGGCGAAAGCCUGACGGAGCAACGCCGCGUGAGUGAUGAAGGUCUUCGGAUCGUAAAACUCUGUUAUUAGGGAAGAACAAAUGUGUAAGUAACUAUGCACGUCUUGACGGUACCGAAUCAGAAAGCCACGGCUAACUACGUG